CGACGCUUCUUCCGAUUUCAAUGAAUACAAUAGGAUUUAUGACUACAUAAACUGUUGAGAACAGUUCUAGAUCUGGUCCAAGACGAACUGCUGUAGGUAAUUUAUUAAAA
Ipomoea nil (Japanese morning glory) is the source of this 110-nucleotide long non-coding RNA. RefSeq lists it as uncharacterized. Lineage: Eukaryota; Viridiplantae; Streptophyta; Magnoliopsida; Solanales; Convolvulaceae. The record is from RefSeq and is a predicted model, not a curated record. The transcript has 3 exons.